Molecule: transfer RNA, 75 nt
Filed under: Promethearchaeota archaeon
Lineage: Archaea; Promethearchaeati; Promethearchaeota
Description: Candidatus Lokiarchaeota archaeon (microbial mat metagenome) tRNA-Gln
Rfam family: tRNA
About the family: Transfer RNA (tRNA) molecules are approximately 80 nucleotides in length. Their secondary structure includes four short double-helical elements and three loops (D, anti-codon, and T loops).
Source: RNAcentral
AGCCCAGUGGUGUAGAACGGCCAAGCAUUUGGGACUCUGAAUCCUAAGACCACGGUUCGACUCCGUGCUGGGCUA